GGGCAUUUGUAAGUUCCCAGGGAAACCUAAUCACAUUGUAUAGUAUUUUUUAAUGAAGAAACACUAGCUGGGUACAGUGGCUUAUGCCUGUAAUCCCAGCACUUUGGGAGGCCAAGGUAGAUGAAUAGCUUGAGUCCAGAAGCUGGUCUUGAACCCCUGGCCUCAAGAGAUCCUCUCACUUCAGCCUCCCAUAGCAUGUGGGAUUAUAGGUGUGAGCUACUGUGCCCAGCUGUUGUUUUCAGUUUUACUCUUCUGUGGUAUGUGGUAAGAGGGAGCAUUUGUUUUCUAGAGCCUGCAGCAUGUGUGGGUCAGUUGAAAAUGUAUAAAAAUUUUGAGUUACGCACGGUGGCUUGUGCCUGUAAUCCCAAUACUUUGGGAGGCUGAGGAGGGAGGACUGCUUGUGCCAGGAGUUUAAGACUAGCCUGGGCAACAUAGUGAGACCCUGUCCCUAAAAAUAUGUAAAAAAAAUUUUAAAAUAAAAAUUUUGAAAUGCAAUUUGUGUCUUAAAAUUCUGCCU
Homo sapiens (human) is the source of this 517-nucleotide long non-coding RNA. Ensembl annotates it as AKT3 intronic transcript 1. Its record names the gene AKT3-IT1. The record is from Ensembl. NCBI's taxonomy places the organism in Eukaryota, Metazoa, Chordata, Mammalia, Primates, Hominidae.